RNAcentral lists this ribosomal RNA (1246 nucleotides) under metagenome. RNAcentral describes it as "bacterial LSU rRNA". It matches the Rfam family "Bacterial large subunit ribosomal RNA", at positions 1564 to 2818 of the family's 2925-position model. The record is from RNAcentral.
UGAGUACGAGAUGCUACGGCAUCGAAGCAGUCUAUGUCAUACUUCCAAGAAAAGCUUGCAAUGUCAUAAACAAAUAAUGCCUGUACCAUAACCGACACAGGUGGGUAGGUAGAGCAUACUAAGGGGCGCGAGAUAACUCUCUCUAAGGAACUCGGCAAAAUGACUCCGUAACUUCGGGAGAAGGAGUGCCUUAUUUUUAUAAGGUUGCAAUAACAAGAUCCAAGCAACUGUUUACCAAAAACACAGGCUCCGCUAAGUCGUAAGACGAUGUAUGGGGGCUGACGCCUGCCCAGUGCCAGAAGGUUAAAGAAGUUGGUUAGCAUUAGCGAAGCUGAUAACUGAAGCCCUGGUGAACGGCGGCCGUAACAAUAACGGUCCUAAGGUAGCGAAAUUCCUUGUCGGGUAAGUUCCGACCCGCACGAAAGGCGUAAUGAUUUGGAUACUGUCUCGGAGAGGGGCUCGGUGAAAUAGACUUGUCUGUGAAGAUGCGGACUACCUGCACCUGGACAGAAAGACCCUAUGAAGCUUUACUGUAACUUGAGAUUGAAAUUGGACUUUAUCUGCGCAGUAUAGGUGGGAGACGUUGAAAAUAUUCUUGCGGGAAUAUUGGAGUCAUCAGUGAGAUACCACUCUUAUAAUGUUAGAUUUCUAACUUUGUAUCAUUAUCUGGUCAAAGAACAGUUUCAGGCGGGCAGUUUGACUGGGGCGGUCGCCUCCCAAACGGUAACGGAGGCGCACAAAGGUUUCCUCUGAACGUGUAGAAAUCGUAUCUAGAGUGUAAAGGCAUAAGGAAGCUUGACUGUGAGACCUACAAGUCGAGCAGGGACGAAAGUCGGUCUUAGUGAUCUGACGGUGCUGAGUGGAAAGGCCGUCACUCAACGGAUAAAAGUUACUCUAAGGAUAACAGGCUGAUCUCCCCCAAGAGUUCACAUCGACGGGGAGGUUUGGCACCUCGAUGUCGGCUCAUCGCAUCCUGGGGCGGUAGUACGUCCCAAGGGUUGGGCUGUUCGCCCAUGAAAGCGGUACGCGAGCUGGGUUCAGAACGUCGUGAGACAGUUCGGUCCAUAUCCGGUGUAGGCGUUAGAAUAUUGAGAGGAGCCUUCUUUAGUACGAGAGGACCGAGAAGGACAUACCUCUGGUGUACCAGUUAUCGUGCCAACGGUAAACGCUGGGUAGCCAUGUAUGGAGAGGAUAACCGCUGAAAGCAUCUAAGUGGGAAGCCCACCUCAAGAUAAGUAUUCUCAUC